This 496-nucleotide ribosomal RNA is filed under the name uncultured bacterium. Its description in RNAcentral is "partial 16S ribosomal RNA". It matches the Rfam family "Bacterial small subunit ribosomal RNA", at positions 29 to 507 of the family's 1533-position model. The record is from RNAcentral.
AUGAACGCUGGCGGCGUGCCUCAUCCAUGCAAGUCGAGCGAACAGACGAGGAGCUUGCUCCUCUGACGUUAGCGGCGGACGGGUGAGUAACACGUGGAUAACCUACCUAUAAGACUGGGAUAACUUCGGGAAACCGGAGCUAAUACCGGAUAAUAUAUUGAACCGCAUGGUUCAAUAGUGAAAGACGGUUUUGCUGUCACUUAUAGAUGGAUCCGCGCCGCAUUAGCUAGUUGGUAAGGUAACGGCUUGCCAAGGCAACGAUGCGUAGCCGACCUGAGAGGGUGAUCGGCCACACUGGAACUGAGACACGGUCCAGACUCCUACGGGAGGCAGCAGUAGGGAAUCUUCCGCAAUGGGCGAAAGCUUGACGGAGCAACGCCGCGUGAGUGAUGAAGGUCUUCGGAUCGUAAAACUCUGUUAUUAGGGAAGAACAAAUGUGUAAGUAACUAUGCACGUCUUGACGGUACCUAAUCAGAAAGCCACGGCUAACUACGUG